GACGAACGCUGGCGGCGUGCCUAACACAUGCAAGUCGAACGGAGUGCACGGAGCGGAACCUUUAGGGGUGAAGCACCGUGUUACUUAGUGGCGCACGGGUGAGUAACACGUAGGUAACCUGCCCAUGGGACGGGGACAACCCCGCGAAAGCGGGACUAAUACCGGAUAAGACCAUGUAAUGAGAAUUAUGUGGGAAAAGGGAGCAAUCCGCCUGUGGAUGGGCCUGCGAUCUAUCAGGUAGUUGGCAGGGUAACGGCCUACCAAGCCGAAGACGGAUAGCCGGUCUGAGAGGACGGUCGGUCACACUGGGACUGAGACACGGCCCAGACUCCUACGGGAGGCAGCAGUGGGGAAUUUUGCGCAAUGGGGGAAACCCUGACGCAGCGACGCCGCGUGAAGGAAGAAGGCCUUCGGGUUGUAAACUUCUUUUGUAGGGGAAAAGAGAGGAUGGUACCCUACGAAUAAGCCACGGCUAACUCUGUG
RNAcentral lists this ribosomal RNA (483 nucleotides) under uncultured bacterium. Its description in RNAcentral is "bacterial SSU rRNA". It matches the Rfam family "Bacterial small subunit ribosomal RNA", at positions 28 to 507 of the family's 1533-position model. The record is from RNAcentral.